Long non-coding RNA from Seriola dumerili (greater amberjack), 305 nucleotides. RefSeq lists it as uncharacterized. The record is from RefSeq and is a predicted model, not a curated record. Lineage: Eukaryota; Metazoa; Chordata; Actinopteri; Carangiformes; Carangidae. The transcript has 3 exons.
AAACUGAGCAAACUCCAUCCAGUGAUGAAGACUGUGAGCUGUGGAUCCAGAAAAAGCUGACCCUGAACGUCCCCGGUCGUCCGGUGAAGGACAGUCUGCAGGUUUUUGAGUGGAAAAUCAUCAUCGCCUCUGACGCUUGGUUGCGUUGCCGCCGGCAUCGUUACCACAGCAACAACCAUCCCAUCCAUUUUUCUGGGCCAAACAGGCUGGAUACACACACAGUGUGACUGCAGAUCAGGACAGCGCCAGCGCGCCGCAGCCUCACACCUGCAAAGGUCAAGUUUCCCAGAAAGACACCGCCUGAA